This 288-nucleotide ribosomal RNA is filed under the name uncultured Magnetospira sp. Its description in RNAcentral is "partial 16S ribosomal RNA". It matches the Rfam family "Bacterial small subunit ribosomal RNA", at positions 30 to 334 of the family's 1533-position model. The record is from RNAcentral. Lineage: Bacteria; Pseudomonadati; Pseudomonadota; Alphaproteobacteria; Rhodospirillales; Thalassospiraceae.
CGAACGCUGGCGGCAGGCCUAACACAUGCAAGUCGAACGUGAAGCCGGACUUCGGUCUGGUGGAAAGUGGCGCACGGGUGAGUAACGCGUGGGGACCUACCCAUCGGUGGGGGAUAACUAUUGGAAACGAUAGCUAAUACCGCAUACGCCCUUCGGGGGAAAGAUUUAUUGCCGAUGGAUGGACCCGCGUCUGAUUAGCUAGUUGGUGAGGUAACGGCUCACCAAGGCGACGAUCAGUAGCUGGUUUGAGAGGAUGAUCAGCCACACUGGGACUGAGACACGGCCCAG